Molecule: ribosomal RNA, 385 nt
Filed under: uncultured bacterium
Lineage: Bacteria
Description: bacterial SSU rRNA
Rfam family: Bacterial small subunit ribosomal RNA
Source: RNAcentral
AUUGAACGCUGGCGGCAUGCCUUACACAUGCAAGUCGAACGGCAGCACGGGAGCAAUCCUGGUGGCGAGUGGCGAACGGGUGAGUAAUAUAUCGGAACGUGCCCAGUCGUGGGGAUAACGUAGCGAAAGCUACGCUAAUACCGCAUACGAUCUAUGGAUGAAAGCGGGGGAUCGCAAGACCUCGCGCGAUUGGAGCGGCCGAUAUCAGAUUAGGUAGUUGGUGAGGUAAAGGCUCACCAAGCCGACGAUCUGUAGCUGGUCUGAGAGGACGACCAGCCACACUGGGACUGAGACACGGCCCAGACUCCUACGGGAGGCAGCAGUGGGGAAUUUUGGACAAUGGGCGCAAGCCUGAUCCAGCAAUGCCGCAUGCAGGAUGAAGGCC